AUACGGAGGAUGCAAGCGUUAUCCGGAUUUAUUGGGUUUAAAGGGCGCGUAGGCGGAUGAUUAAGCGUGAGGUGAAAUGCCACUGCUCAACAGUGGAACUGCCUCGCGAACUGGUUGUCUUGAAUGCUCCUGCCGUGGGAGGAAUGUGUGGUGUAGCGGUGAAAUGCAUAGAGAUCACACAGAACACCGAUUGCGAAGGCAUCUCACGAAGGGGUGAUUGACGCUGAGGCACGAAAGCGUGGGGAUCAAGCAGGAUUAGAUACCCUGGUAGUCCACGCAGUAAACGAUGAUAACUAACCGCUGGGUCGUAGUGGUUCAGUGGCCAAGCGAAAGCGAUAAGUUAUCCACCUGGGGAGUACGACCGCAAGGUUGAAACUCAAAGGAAUUGACGGGG
RNAcentral lists this ribosomal RNA (394 nucleotides) under uncultured bacterium. RNAcentral's name for it is "partial 16S ribosomal RNA". It matches the Rfam family "Bacterial small subunit ribosomal RNA", at positions 523 to 918 of the family's 1533-position model. The record is from RNAcentral.